Molecule: ribosomal RNA, 871 nt
Filed under: uncultured archaeon
Lineage: Archaea
Description: bacterial SSU rRNA
Rfam family: Archaeal small subunit ribosomal RNA
Source: RNAcentral
ACCUGCAGGCGGCCGCACUAGUGAUUUGACUAAGCCAUGCGAGUCAAGGUGUCUUCGGACGCCGGCAUACGGCUCAGUAACACGUAGGUAACCUACCCUCAGGACUGAGAUAACCCCGGGAAACUGGGGCCAAUAUUAGAUAGAUAAAAGAUACUGGAAUGUUCUUUUAUCCAAAGCUUUUGCGCCUGAGGAUGGGCCUGCGUCCGAUUAGGUCGUUGGUGGGGUAAUGGCCCACCAAGCCUGCGAUCGGUACGGGCAGUGGAAGCUGAAGCCCGGAGUUGGGGACUGAGACAAGGCCCCAGGCCCUACGGGGCGCAGCAGGCGCGAAACCUCUGCAAUGCGGGAAACCGUGACAGGGGGAUCCCAAGUGCUCAUGCAUUGCAUGGGCUGUUCUUUGGUCUAAGUAACCAGAGGAGUAAGGGCUGGGCAAGACCGGUGCCAGCCGCCGCGGUAAUACCGGCAGCUCAAGUGGUAGCCGCGAUUAUUGGGCCUAAAACGUUCGUAGCCGGAUAAGAAAGUCUUUGGUUAAAUCCUGCGACUCAACCGUGGGAAUUCUAGAGAUACUGCUCGUCUUGAGACCGGGAGAGGUUGGAGGUACUCCUAGGGUAGGGGUGAAAUCCUGUAAUCCUAGGGGGACCACCUGUGGCGAAGGCGUCCAACUGGAACGGGUCUGACGGUGAGGGACGAAACCUAGGGGAGCGAGCCGGAUUAGAUACCCGGGUAGUCCUAGGCGUAAAUGAUGCGAGUUAAGUGUGGGGGCAUCUACGAGAUGGCCCUGUGCUGUAGGGUAGCCGUUAAACUCGCUGCCUGGGGAGUACGGUCGCAAGGCUGAAACUUAAAGGAAUUGGCGGGGGAGCAAAUCCCGCGGCCA